AGUGAACGCUGGCGGAAUGCUUUACACAUGCAAGUCGAACGGUAGAGGGGGCAACCCCUCGAGAGUGGCGCACGGGUGAGUAAUAUAUCGGAACGUGCCCAGUUGUGGGGGGUAACGUAGCGAAAGUUACGGUAAUACCGCAUCCGAACUAAGGAUGAAAGGGGGGGCUCGCCAGACCUCGCGUGAUUGGAGCGGCCGAUAUCAGAUGAGGUAGUGCGUGGGGUAAAGGCGCACCAAGCCAACGAUCUGUAGCUGGUCUGAGAGGACGACCAGCCACACUGGAACUGAGACACGGUCCAGACUCCUACGGGAGGCAGCAGUGGGGAAUUUUGGACAAUGGACGCAAGUCUGAUCCAGCCAUUCCGCGUGCAGGAUGAAGGCCCUCGGGUUGUAAACUGCUUUUGUACGGAACGAAAAGGUCUCUCUUAAUACGGGGGGCUCAUGACGGUACCGUAAGAAUAAGCACCGGCUAACUACGUGCCAGCAGCCGCCGUAA
RNAcentral lists this ribosomal RNA (496 nucleotides) under uncultured bacterium. Its description in RNAcentral is "partial 16S ribosomal RNA". It matches the Rfam family "Bacterial small subunit ribosomal RNA", at positions 29 to 523 of the family's 1533-position model. The record is from RNAcentral.